AAUAAGAAUCGGUAGGUGAGGUUACCAUAGGGAUACGGGUUGCUGCCGCGGAGUAGUGGAGACACUAUGAGAAGGUUAGCAGAAUACGUCGAGUUUAAGGCGUAUUUUAACGCAAUUUCAUUGCCCUAUGAAGCUAAAGCUUGAACGGAAUAAAUAA
RNAcentral lists this small RNA (157 nucleotides) under Clostridium sp. Its description in RNAcentral is "Magnesium sequence". It matches the Rfam family "M-box riboswitch aptamer (ykoK leader)". Rfam says of the family: M-box riboswitch, also know as ykoK leader is described as a metaloregulatory RNA that sense divalent metals and function as a genetic control element of genes related to divalent metal transport in bacteria. It was first reported upstream of the B.subtilis ykoK gene and genes with related functions in other bacteria. Lineage: Bacteria; Bacillati; Bacillota; Clostridia; Eubacteriales; Clostridiaceae. The record is from RNAcentral. RNAcentral also lists the same sequence under 2 other names.